AUUGAACUCUGGCGGCAGGCCUAACACAUGCAAGUCGAACGGUAGCACAGAGAGCUUGCUCUCGGGUGACGAGUGGCGGACGGGUGAGUAAUGUCUGGGAAACUGCCCGAUGGAGGGGGAUAACUACUGGAAACGGUAGCUAAUACCGCAUAACGUCGCAAGACCAAAGUGGGGGACCUUCGGGCCUCACACCAUCGGAUGUGCCCAGAUGGGAUUAGCUAGUAGGUGGGGUAAUGGCUCACCUAGGCGACGAUCCCUAGCUGGUCUGAGAGGAGGACCAGCCACACUGGAACUGAGACACGGUCCAGACUCCUACGGGAGGCAGCAGUGGGGAAUAUUGCACAAUGGGCGCAAGCCUGAUGCAGCCAUGCCGCGUGUAUGAAGAAGGCCUUCGGGUUGUAAAGUACUUUCAGCGGGGAGGAAGGCGGUGGAGUUAAUAACUUCACCGAUUGACGUUACCCGCAGAAGAAGCACCGGCUAACUCCGUGCCAGCAGCCGCGGUAA
This 504-nucleotide ribosomal RNA is filed under the name uncultured bacterium. RNAcentral's name for it is "partial 16S ribosomal RNA". It matches the Rfam family "Bacterial small subunit ribosomal RNA", at positions 30 to 523 of the family's 1533-position model. The record is from RNAcentral.